This 998-nucleotide unclassified non-coding RNA is filed under the name Sitophilus oryzae (rice weevil). Its description in RNAcentral is "uncharacterized LOC115877094, transcript variant X1". Lineage: Eukaryota; Metazoa; Arthropoda; Insecta; Coleoptera; Curculionidae. The record is from RNAcentral.
UUAUAGUUGGCGCCGGUCGGACGUGAAAGACGGUUGAGCGUAAAAAAAUCCUUUUUCUGAUAUAGAAUUUAAUUCAGGUUCCAAUUUCCCAUUGUUGUUAGUUCGUACUUGUUUUUGGAUCUUCCUUUGCCAACAUUUUCUUCAACUCAACAGUCGGGGUAUGGGAUUUCCCAGGCUCGCUUUAUAGCGAUCCUCGUCUGUGUGUCAUCAUCUAUAUAAACGCUCAACCGUAGGUAGUUAAUUCUACCAUCCGGCCGGAUAGCCCUGGCAGCUGUGGCCAUUAAACUAAUAUACUACUACUAUAACCCAACUUUUGUUUUGUAACUUUAGAGCAUUUAGAGGUUAUGAAAUGUCACCGAAGUCCUUAAAAGAUACUUUUAUAUUCUUUAAACACAUAAUUUAACGUAAUACUUUGAAGAUAUUCGUAAUUCAACAUAUUCAGACAAAAUGAGAGUAACUACAGCGGUCAAACAAUUCGUAAAUAGUCAAACAUUAGAAGCCCUUAAAAGGUCGAUAAGUAAAACGAUUGCGGAAGCUUCCCCGCAUAUACAGGCAGUGAAAGAAAACCAAGUAAAGAUUCUAAGUCAAAAAUUUACAAAUCUUAACGACUGGUACAUGAAAAUAACAGGAUUAGAUAAGGUAAACUUAUCUCAAGAAAAGGUCACGGCACUACAGGUAGGAUCAACUAUUACAAAUCCAAGAAAAAAGAAGAGAAGUUGGCAGGCAAUUAAAUGAUAUCCGUAUAAAAUCAAUUGAGCUUCAAGAUGAAAUUCAUAAAGUUAAAAGGCAAGAUGAUUUGGAAAAAUUUCUAGACUUGAUGAAAAAAGAAACUGAGGUGUUGAAACUAGAAAAGUCAAUUGCAAAAACCUUCCAAGACUAUGAUCAAGCAGAACGUGAACUAUUCACUGCAUUUUCAGAUUCAAUCAGAGACUCGCACGAAAAGCAAAGAGCACAAAUGGAGUACACCAAAUAUUUCGGAAUAGUUUUAAGUAUCACAG